GGCUCAGGACGAACGCUGGCGGCGUGCUUAACACAUGCAAGUCGAACGGGAGUAUUGAAGAAGCUUGCUUUAGAGAUACUUAGUGGCGGACGGGUGAGUAACGCGUGAGGAGCUGUCCUAUGCAGGGGGACAACAGCUGGAAACGGCUGCUAAUACCCCAUAAGCCGAGAGGUAAAAGGAUCAAUCCGGCAGAGGAGGUACUCGCGUCCUAUCAGCUAGUAGGUGAGGUAACGGCUCACCUAGGCGAAGACGGGUAGCCGGCCUGAGAGGGCGAACGGCCACACUGGAACUGAGAUACGGUCCAGACUCCUACGGGAGGCAGCAGUGGGGAAUAUUGGGCAAUGGGGGAAACCCUGACCCAGCGACGCCGCGUGGGUGAAGAAAUCCUUCGGGAUGUAAAGCCCUGUUGUAUGGGAAGAGCGGAAGACGGUACCAUACGAGGAAGCCCCGGCAAACUACGUGCCAGCAGCCGC
Molecule: ribosomal RNA, 473 nt
Filed under: uncultured bacterium
Lineage: Bacteria
Description: bacterial SSU rRNA
Rfam family: Bacterial small subunit ribosomal RNA
Source: RNAcentral